RNAcentral lists this unclassified non-coding RNA (590 nucleotides) under Borreliella bissettiae. Lineage: Bacteria; Pseudomonadati; Spirochaetota; Spirochaetia; Spirochaetales; Borreliaceae. The record is from RNAcentral.
ACGAACCUCUAGUGUGCCAGUUAUCCUGCCAAGGGUAAGUGCUGGGUAGCUACGUUCGGAAAGGAUAACCGCUGAAAGCAUCUAAGUGGGAAGCCUUCCUCAAGAUGAGAUAUCCUUUAAGGGUCCUGGAAGAAUACCAGGUUGAUAGGUUAGAAGUGUAAGUAUAGUAAUAUAUUAAGCUGACUAAUACUAAUUACCCGUAUCUUUGGCCAUAUUUUUGUCUUCCUUGUAAAGACCCUGGUGGUUAAAGAAAAGAGGAAACACCUGUUAUCAUUCCGAACACAGAAGUUAAGCUCUUUUUCGCUGAUGGUACUGCGAGUUCGCGGGAGAGUAGGUUAUUGCCAGGGUUUUUAUAUUUUAAAUUUUGAUUUUAUUUUAUGUUUUUUAAAUGUUAGUGUUUUUGAAUAUAUUAUUUAAAUAACAUAAAAAAUAAAAUAUAUAUUGACAUGGAUUAAACAAAGAUAUAUAUUAUUUUAUGUUGCAUAAACAAAUUGGCAAAAUAGAGAUGGAAGAUAAAAAUAUGGUCAAAGUAAUAAGAGUCUAUGGUGAAUGCCUAGGAGCUUUAAGGCGAAGAAGGUCGUGGUAAGCUG